This 293-nucleotide ribosomal RNA is filed under the name uncultured bacterium. RNAcentral's name for it is "partial 16S ribosomal RNA". It matches the Rfam family "Bacterial small subunit ribosomal RNA", at positions 775 to 1067 of the family's 1533-position model. The record is from RNAcentral.
GGAUUAGAUACCCUGGUAGUCCACGCCGUAAACGAUGAGAACUAGGUGUUGGGGAAUUUAUUUCUUCAGUACCGCAGCUAACGCGUUAAGUUCUCCGCCUGGGGAGUACGGCCGCAAGGCUAAAACUCAAAGGAAUUGACGGGGGCCCGCACAAGCGGUGGAGCAUGUGAUUUAAUUCGAUGCAACGCGAAGAACCUUACCUACUCUUGACAUCCCUGAAACCUGCUAGAGAUAGCAGGGUGCCUUCGGGAAUCAGGUGACAGGUGUUGCAUGGCUGUCGUCAGCUCGUGCCG